GAUGAACGCUGGCGGCGUGCCUAAUACAUGCAAGUCGAGCGAACGGACGAGAAGCUUGCUUCUCUGAUGUUAGCGGCGGACGGGUGAGUAACACGUGGAUAACCUACCUAUAAGACUGGGAUAACUUCGGGAAACCGGAGCUAAUACCGGAUGAUAUUUUGAACCGCAUGGGUCAAAAGUGAAAGACGGUUUUGCUGUGACUUCUAGAUGGAUCCGCGCUGCAUUAGUUAGUUGGUAAGGUAACGGCUUACCAAGGCAACGAUGCAUAGCCGACCUGAGAGGGUGAUCGGCCACACUGGAGCUGAGACACGGUCCAGACUCCUACGGGAGGCAGCAGUAGGGAAUCUUCCGCAAUGGGCGAAAGCCUGACGGAGCAACGCCGCGUGAGUGAUGAAGGUCUUCGGAUCGUAAAACUCUGUUAUUAGGGAAGAACAUAUGUGUAAGUAACUGUGCACAUCUUGACGGUACCUAAUCAGAAAGCCACGGCUAACUACGUG
RNAcentral lists this ribosomal RNA (497 nucleotides) under uncultured bacterium. RNAcentral describes it as "partial 16S ribosomal RNA". It matches the Rfam family "Bacterial small subunit ribosomal RNA", at positions 28 to 507 of the family's 1533-position model. The record is from RNAcentral.